AUUGAACGCUGGCGGCAUGCUUUACACAUGCAAGUCGAACGGUAACAGGCCGCAAGGUGCUGACGAGUGGCGAACGGGUGAGUAAUGCAUCGGAACGUGCCCAGUCGUGGGGGAUAACGCAGCGAAAGCUGUGCUAAUACCGCAUACGAUCUAUGGAUGAAAGCGGGGGACCGUAAGGCCUCGCGCGAUUGGAGCGGCCGAUGUCAGAUUAGGUAGUUGGUGGGGUAAAGGCUCACCAAGCCAACGAUCUGCAGCUGGUCUGAGAGGACGACCAGCCACCCUGGGACUGAGACACGGCCCAGACUCCUACGGGAGGCAGCAGUGGGGAAGUUUGGACAAUGGGCGCAGCCUGAUCCAGCACUGCCGCGUGCAGGAAGAAGGCCUUCGGGUUGUAAACUGCUUUUGUACGGAACGAAAAGGUUUGGGUUAAUACCCUGGGCCGAUGACGGUACCGUAAGAAUAAGCACCGGCUAACUACGUGCCAGCCGCCGCAGUAA
This 497-nucleotide ribosomal RNA is filed under the name uncultured bacterium. RNAcentral's name for it is "partial 16S ribosomal RNA". It matches the Rfam family "Bacterial small subunit ribosomal RNA", at positions 29 to 523 of the family's 1533-position model. The record is from RNAcentral.